Molecule: ribosomal RNA, 440 nt
Filed under: uncultured bacterium
Lineage: Bacteria
Description: partial 16S ribosomal RNA
Rfam family: Bacterial small subunit ribosomal RNA
Source: RNAcentral
CCUACGGGAGGCAGCAGUGGGGAAUAUUGCACAAUGGGGGGAACCCUGAUGCAGCGACGCCGCGUGAGUGAAGAAGUAUUUCGGUAUGUAAAGCUCUAUCAGCAGGGAAGAAAAUGACGGUACCUGACUAAGAAGCCCCGGCUAACUACGUGCCAGCAGCCGCGGUAAUACGUAGGGGGCAAGCGUUAUCCGGAUUUACUGGGUGUAACGGGAGCGCAGACGGCUGUGCAAGUCUGGAGUGAAAGGCGGGGGCCCAACCCCCGGACUGCUCUGGAAACUGUAAAGCUGGAGUGCAGGAGAGGUAAGCGGAAUUCCUAGUGUAGCGGUGAAAUGCGGAGAUAUUAGGAGGAACACCAGUGGCGAAGGCGGCUUACUGGACUGCAACUGACGUUGAGGCUCGAAAGCGUGGGGAGCAAACAGGAUUAGAUACCCCUGUAGUC